RNAcentral lists this ribosomal RNA (449 nucleotides) under uncultured archaeon. RNAcentral's name for it is "bacterial SSU rRNA". It matches the Rfam family "Archaeal small subunit ribosomal RNA", at positions 550 to 997 of the family's 1478-position model. The record is from RNAcentral.
UCUGAUAGCUCAACUAUUAGGCUUCGGGGGAGUACUGCCAGACUGGAACCGGGAGAGGUAAGAGGUACUACAGGGGUAGGAGUGAAAUCUUGUAAUCCCUGUGGGACCACCUGUGGCGAAGGCGUCUUACCAGAACGGUUCGACGGUGAGGGACGAAAGCUGGGGGCGACGAACCGGAUUAGAUACCCGGGUAGUCCCAGCCGUAAACGAUGCUCGCUAGGUGUCAGGCAUGGCGCGACCGUGUCUGGUGCCGCAGGGAAGCCGUGAAGCGAGCCACCUGGGAAGUACGGCCGCAAGGCUGAAACUUAAAGGAAUUGGCGGGGGAGCAUAACAACGGGUGGAGCCUGCGGUUUAAUUGGACUCAACGCCGGACAACUCACCGGGGGCGACAGCAAUAUGUAGGCCAAGCUGAAGACUUUGCCUGAAUCGCUGAGAGAAGUGGUGCAUGG